CAGCAGCCGCGGUAAUACGAGGGGUGCAAGCGUUGUCCGGAAUUAUUGGGCGUAAAGGGCUCGCAGGCGGUUUCUUAAGUCUGAUGUGAAAGCCCCCGGCUCAACCGGGGAGGGUCAUUGGAAACUGGGAAACUUGAGUGCAGAAGAGGAGAGUGGAAUUCCACGUGUAGCGGUGAAAUGCGUAGAGAUGUGGAGGAACACCAGUGGCGAAGGCGACUCUCUGGUCUGUAACUGACGCUGAGGAGCGAAAGCGUGGGGAGCGAACAGGAUUAGAUACCCCCGUAGUCCCUGUCUCUUAUAC
RNAcentral lists this ribosomal RNA (301 nucleotides) under uncultured bacterium. RNAcentral's name for it is "partial 16S ribosomal RNA". It matches the Rfam family "Bacterial small subunit ribosomal RNA", at positions 509 to 807 of the family's 1533-position model. The record is from RNAcentral.